UAUGGGACAACAGCGUCUCCUAGAUGUACUCGACAAGGGACACAUUCUACACUAUGCCCCCUUUGACCUGGAUAUUGUAUGGGAAGUCAUGGGUCAAAUGAAAGACAAGCCAAGGAAAAGAGCAUCCCAGUCACAGCGGGGGAACGGCCCACAGAGGCAGUGGCAGGCAGAGGUGAGAGAGCUCGGACAAGGGAGGAGUGACAAGAAAUGAAGAGGAACUCCAGGGAAAGGAGGAUUCCACCCCAUUCACACUUGGGAGUCACAGGGGGCACACUGUACGAUGACCCAACGGAGUCUUUGGGCAGAAGGGUGGCUGCAGUUUAGGAAUUUCGUUUUCUGAAGCUGAUCUUGGUUCCUGCUGUGGUGCAGGUGAGAUCCAAGGGAGGGCUCUGCAUCACCCGAGGGAGAAAUGUGGAAAGGGACUGAAUCCAGACAAAGCCUACGCAGGCGAUGGGCUAGGGGACCUCGCGGCUGAGGCUGAGGAGUGGACGUCCCUGCCCGGGGAUGGGCUGGACGAUCAGACCCAGAUUCAGACGGGUCUGCAGAUGCCAGCAGGGUGGCUGAGGCUCAGUCAUCCAGGGAGGACCGGGCCCACAGCAAGAGGAGAGAGACAACAAUGCAAGUUUCACCGCCCCCACCCACGGGCGGUGCAGGUCAGCAUCACCAGGUGGAGCCAGGAGAGGAGAGCACACCCUGCGAGCACACAGCCCACUGCUCCCAAUACCAUGCAUCUUUGGUUCCUUUCAAGCCAUGCUUCUUGAAAGUAUAGACACCAGGACCAUCCUUAUCUGGUUACCUCUCGAUUCCUCCGCCAUGUGCCCAUCCACAGAACAUCCCCUUGCUAACGCCUCCCAAGAGCUCCGUGGGCCAAACCAUAGUACCCAGUGCUGUACUGGCCACGGACACUUUCCGUUUUCAAAACCACUUUUCCUUGGUCAGAGUCUGUGACAGCAGCCCACCCUGGCUUUCCCCCUACCUCUCAGUCCAUUACUUCUAAGUCUCCUUGUCAGUCCAUUUACUUUGAUCCCCUCCUAAAUCUUGGGCUUUGUUUUCCUCUGGUUUCCAACCUCUGCCCUGUGCUCUUCCACUCCAUACAUGAUCCUUGGGUGACCACGUCACCCCCACAGAGCUUCUACCCAUCUAACUUGUUUUCAUCAGUAUCCCCCUGUAUGCUGAUGGCUUUUCCUAUCACUAAAUCUACCUAGGACAUCUCAACUGGGCCCCAGAUUCCCCACAGGCCGAGACGUAUGGGGCAUCUGCACUCAGAUGUCCCAGAAGCCCUGCAGACCUGCUAGUAGCCCCAGGCCAAUGUUCCCUGGGGUGUCUCAUGGAUGGGCACCGCCAUCCACCCAGUUCCUUAAACCACAAUCCCGGGCACGCUGCUGGGUGUGAUCUUCACUGUGCAGUGACUCCCCUGGAGCUGCUCUGCAAAAGGCUGACCCGAGAUCUUCCUGUUGCCACAGGUGGGGAUCCGUUCCUCUCAGAGGCCCUGUUCCUGCAGACACACUCUGAAGGUGUCCGGAGCACACGCCAUGACCCUCUUUUGGAUCUCCGAGAGGACCCGGGCACUGUAAUGCACCUGAGAGGUUGAAAGCCCUGUCUGUAACAAGACGAUGAGUCAGGACACAGCAGUGCAAGCCCAUCACUGGGGAAUGUGCCAAAGGAUAUCUGGAAGAGAUCCCUAAAGAACCCUUAGGGAGCUGCAAGGUCGGCUUUCAGAAGAGAACACUUUCAGAUAAAGCUCACGCCAGGGCCACAUACCAGACCUACUACUUCAGACUCUCUGGGGAUGUCCUGCCAGCAUCGGCUCUCCUAAAGCCUCUCCAGGGGAGAUUUGAUGCACAGUUUAGGUUGAGAAGCACAAUCACAUGAUGCUUCACCCAUCCUGGUUUUAAAUAGAAUCCUGAACUGAAGAGCCAUGUUUGCUACUAAAGACGUUACAAAAAUU
Molecule: long non-coding RNA, 1948 nt
Organism: Capra hircus (goat)
Lineage: Eukaryota; Metazoa; Chordata; Mammalia; Artiodactyla; Bovidae
Exons: 2
Source: RefSeq, a predicted model, not a curated record